CCUACGGGUGGCAGCAGUGGGGAAUAUUGGACAAUGGGGGCAACCCUGAUCCAGCCAUGCCGCGUGUGUGAAGAAGGCCCUCGGGUUGUAAAGCACUUUCAGUGAGGAAGAACGCCUGGUGGUUAAUACCCAUCAGGAAAGACAUCACUCACAGAAGAAGCACCGUCUAACUCCGUGCCAGCAGCCGCGGUAAUACGGAGGGUGCGAGCGUUAAUCGGAAUUACUGGGCGUAAAGCGCGCGUAGGUGGCUUGAUAAGCCGGUUGUGAAAGCCCCGGGCUCAACCUGGGAACGGCAUCCGGAACUGUCAAGCUAGAGUGCAGGAGAGGAAGGUAGAAUUCCCGGUGUAGCGGUGAAAUGCGUAGAGAUCGGGAGGAAUACCAGUGGCGAAGGCGGCCUUCUGGACUGACACUGACACUGAGGUGCGAAAGCGUGGGUAGCAAACAGGAUUAGAUACCCUGGUAGUC
Molecule: ribosomal RNA, 465 nt
Filed under: Vreelandella stevensii
Lineage: Bacteria; Pseudomonadati; Pseudomonadota; Gammaproteobacteria; Oceanospirillales; Halomonadaceae
Description: partial 16S ribosomal RNA
Rfam family: Bacterial small subunit ribosomal RNA
Source: RNAcentral